This 27-nucleotide non-coding RNA is filed under the name Mus musculus (house mouse). The record is from RNAcentral. Lineage: Eukaryota; Metazoa; Chordata; Mammalia; Rodentia; Muridae.
UCUCACGGGAUGUCUGCUGCUUCCUGC